GAGAGGUUUAAAAGACCUGCUAACUCUUCAAUCUGGUAGAUACCAGCCCUCUCU
Molecule: transfer RNA, 54 nt
Filed under: Protobothrops mucrosquamatus (brown spotted pit viper)
Lineage: Eukaryota; Metazoa; Chordata; Lepidosauria; Squamata; Viperidae
Description: tRNA-Ser
Source: RNAcentral